UACGUAGGGGGCGAGCGUUGUCCGGAUUUAUUGGGCGUAAAGAGCGUGUAGGCGGCCAGGUAGGUCCGUUGUGAAAACUCGAGACUCAACCUCGAGACGUCGAUGGAAACCAUCUGGCUAGAGUCCGGAAGAGGAGAGUGGAAUUCCUGGUGUAGCGGUGAAAUGCGCAGAUAUCAGGAAGAACACCUAUGGCGAAGGCAGCUCUCUGGGACGGUACUGACGCUGAGACGCGAAAGCGUGGGGAGCGAACAGG
Molecule: ribosomal RNA, 253 nt
Filed under: uncultured bacterium
Lineage: Bacteria
Description: partial 16S ribosomal RNA
Rfam family: Bacterial small subunit ribosomal RNA
Source: RNAcentral